This 980-nucleotide long non-coding RNA is filed under the name Helianthus annuus (common sunflower). RNAcentral's name for it is "hypothetical non coding rna". Lineage: Eukaryota; Viridiplantae; Streptophyta; Magnoliopsida; Asterales; Asteraceae. The record is from RNAcentral.
UCUCCAUUGUGAUUUCCUACUCAUCCCUAAAACCCACUCGAUCGUAUGCUCCAUCAAUAAACUACCGCCGUCAAGAUUUCCGGCAUCUUCCCGCGAAAUCCGGCAAGAAACUACCGCCGUCAUUCGUAACUCAUUUUUUGGCGAUUUGCAGCAAGAAAAUGAACCGAACGUAACAACAAUUUAGUUUGUCGCGUGAGUUCAGCUGUAAGUAAUCCUAAACCUAAACUUGACUUGCUAUUUUUUAGGUAUUUUUCAGUGAGUUCAGUUGUAGGUACUUUUAGUUUUGGGGCUUUUAUGGUUCUUCGCUCCGAGUUCAAGUCUGAUUUGUUUUCACCAAAUUAAUUCCUUUUUGCAGCGUUUUACGUUUCGUUUGUACCUGUUUUGUAGGAAUUAGGAUAUGUUUUUCACUGUUUCCUUCAAUUUCUCGCAUUAAUUUCGUGUAAGAAGACUAAUUAGAAGCUGAGAUCAUAGUAUUGUGAAUAAGUUUCGUUAAGAGUGCUGAUCUGAAGCGAAUACGAACCUCAUUUGAUUCGAUUUUUUAUUGUUAUGUAUAGUAAUCAUUAACAGUAAGCAGCAUUUACCGUUUCGUGUGCCUCAAACACACGGUGCUUGUUUUGUACGAAUUAUGAUCUGUUUUCACCAUUUUGUUCAAUUUCUAGCAAUAGUUUCGUGUACGAAGCGGAUAUCAUACUGUUUUGAAUCAGUUUUGUUAAGAAUGCCGAUCUGAAGCCAAUACGAACCUCAUUUGAUUUGAUUUGAUUUAUGAUUGUAUCAUAAGCAGCGGUUAUCAUUUCGUGUGCCUCAAACACACGGUCCAUGUUUUGCACGAGUUUGAAUACAAUCUGAUGCGAAUAUGAUAUUUCAUUCCGAGCAGGGGAAGAGGUCUGAAGGUUGUUUGUGAUGCGAGAAAGAAUGACGUUUUGGUACAAAAUAAAAUGACAGUCGAAGUUUGGUGGAUCUUCGGUUGCAUCGGCAGAUAG